AAAGGGGAACAGGCGGUCGCGCUGGCCCGCUGUAAAGCGGGCGGUGAGGAAAGUCCGAACACCGAAGGGCAGGGUGCCGGGUAACGCCCGGGCGUCGUGAGGCGACGGAAAGUGCAACAGAAAAUAUACCACCACCUCACCCCCCUUACCCCCCUCUCCAUAUGGAGAGGGGGGUAAGGGGGGUGAGGUGGUAAGGGUGAAAUGGUGAGGUAAGAGCUCACCGCGCCGGCAGUAAUGCAGGUGGCAGUGUAAACCCCACCCGGUGCAAGACCAAGUAGACAGCCGCUCAAGGACUGCCCGUCCAAGGCUGUGGGUAGGUCGCAAGGAGGUGUAUGGCAACAUGCAUCCAAGAUAGAUGGCAGCUUAAACAGAAUUCGGCUUAUGAUCCCCUUUUUUA
Molecule: RNase P RNA, 397 nt
Filed under: Spirochaetae bacterium HGW-Spirochaetae-1
Lineage: Bacteria; Pseudomonadati; Spirochaetota
Description: RNase P RNA component class A
Rfam family: Bacterial RNase P class A
About the family: Ribonuclease P (RNase P) is a ubiquitous endoribonuclease, found in archaea, bacteria and eukarya as well as chloroplasts and mitochondria. Its best characterised activity is the generation of mature 5'-ends of tRNAs by cleaving the 5'-leader elements of precursor-tRNAs.
Source: RNAcentral